UGAGCUUUUAAUUAAAUUUAAAAGAUAACCUCAAAACAAUUGCCUAAUGAGCCCCAAACAAGCAUCGCCAUUUUGUAAGCGUCCUCUUAUUUCCGUCGUUUUUGCAGUUUUUCCAGGAAAUUCAUGGAUAUGGAAGGUAAAAUUCCGUUUAAAAUGUCUUUGACGCAAUAUGGGGUUGGAUGAACAUUCCGGUUGAAACGACCACUAAUCCUUAAAUUGAUGACUUUUAAUACUUAAUAAUGGUUUCGUAUCACUUCUGUGUCUCUCCUGGAAGAAAAUAAAAGUGAGCAACCUCAAAGAUCAUGAUGUAAAGGCACAAAAUAGGUGAUGAGCAGAGCCACGACGUUUCGGGCUGGUGAUGUCACCAUCUGUAUAGAGCAGCGAACGGGUUAUAGCGUAGUAGUAACAUGCUUCUAUCCAGCACAUCGAUGUGUCGCAACGUAAUGAUACAGGUUGAAUACAGGCCCAUGUAAAAUUUGGAAGGUUCUCUUUGGUGCAGCGUUCAAUACGUGUUUGGCUGAUUGUCUGACUAUAACUCAACCAGUGGUGUGGUAUAACUCUACCGUAAGGCGACGAGCCGCCAAUGAGUUGCCCGAUAACGUCGCCGCUCUGAUGAUGAGAGAUAGGGAGUUGAACGAGGACACUAAAUAGAAGAGUAUUGGUAUUGGGAAUGCAGCACCCUGUCUGAUUGAUGUACAUUUUAAUUAUUUUAUUGUAUUGUACUUGAUUGAUCUCAAAUAAACGAUGAAAAUUGC
Molecule: non-coding RNA, 755 nt
Organism: Onthophagus taurus
Lineage: Eukaryota; Metazoa; Arthropoda; Insecta; Coleoptera; Scarabaeidae
Source: RefSeq, a predicted model, not a curated record